GACGAACGCUGGCGGCGUGCUUAACACAUGCAAGUCGAACGGAAAGGCCCUGCUUUUGUGGGGUGCUCGAGUGGCGAACGGGUGAGUAACACGUGAGUAACCUGCCCUUGACUUUGGGAUAACUUCAGGAAACUGGGGCUAAUACCGGAUAGGAGCACCUGCUGCAUGGUGGGGGUUGGAAAGUUUCGGCGGUUGGGGAUGGACUCGCGGCUUAUCAGCUUGUUGGUGGGGUAGUGGCUUACCAAGGCUUUGACGGGUAGCCGGCCUGAGAGGGUGACCGGCCACAUUGGGACUGGGAGACGACCCGGACUCCUACGGGGGGCAGCAGUGGGGAAUAUUGCACAAUGGGCGGAAGCCUGAUGCAGCAACUCCGCGUGCGGGAUGACGGCCUUCGGGUUGUAAACCGCUUUCGCCUGUGACGAAGCGUGAGUGACGGUAAUGGGUAAAGAAGCACCGGCUAACUACGUG
Molecule: ribosomal RNA, 468 nt
Filed under: uncultured bacterium
Lineage: Bacteria
Description: partial 16S ribosomal RNA
Rfam family: Bacterial small subunit ribosomal RNA
Source: RNAcentral